UCUCUAAAUGUAAAUUUCACGUGAUUUAAAACAAUUUUCUGAUGAUUUAAGAUAAACUCGGUUUUUCAGCGUAAAUUUCACGUGAUCUAGAAGGAUGUACGGUGGCGUCUAGUCCUGGUUUGGACUAUGGCUCUGUUCGUUUGCCUGUCGCUGGCGACUAAAACCAGCGACAACAACCAAAAGUUGUUCGUUUGCCUGUCGCUGGUUCAGCGACCAAAAGUAGCGACAGUCGCCAGCGAUCAGCGACCGCAAUUUUUGGUCGCUGAAAUUUUUAGCGAUCAGUCGCUGGUUUCAGCGAUUAGUCGCUGCUUUUGGUCGCUGGAUCCAGCGACAAGCAAACGAACAACUUAGCGAUCAAAAAAUAUAAAUUAAUAAAUAAUUAAAAA
Molecule: small RNA, 386 nt
Filed under: Arabidopsis thaliana (thale cress)
Lineage: Eukaryota; Viridiplantae; Streptophyta; Magnoliopsida; Brassicales; Brassicaceae
Description: ATSL071500
Source: RNAcentral